UUUGUUGGAAUAAGUUUUUUUGUUUAAUUAUAAAGACUGUUAAAAAUGACACCAAAGUCGGCCAUUUUAGUUGCUCUGUUGGCAGUACUGUCGUUCAGUUUAUUGAUAAAUGGGAGCACAGCUGCCGAGUGCACACUACUAGGGCUCCCUAUCAUUGGUACUGAGUGCUUGAAAGAAUGUGAGCUUGCGCCUGUUUUUGGAAACUGUGAAGCAGGACUUAGCUGUUGUAACGCAGAUGUUUCUGCUGCCGAGUGCACACUACUAGGGCUCCCUAUCAUUGGUACUGAGUGCUUGAAAGAAUGUGAGCUUGUGCCUGUUUUUGGAAACUGUAAAGCAGGACUUAGCUGUUGUUUACUUACAUGAUUUAACGGACGGUACGCAUUUUAAAUAUUGAAGAAACACUACAUCAGAAGUUUUCAAUUUGGCUAAGAUGACCAAAACGAAUAGACAAGUGUUUUUUUGAUUGAUUUAUUUAUGACAAAAUAUAUGUAUAAAGUUACA
This is a long non-coding RNA of Bradysia coprophila, 501 nucleotides long. RefSeq lists it as uncharacterized. Lineage: Eukaryota; Metazoa; Arthropoda; Insecta; Diptera; Sciaridae. The record is from RefSeq and is a predicted model, not a curated record.